This 253-nucleotide ribosomal RNA is filed under the name uncultured bacterium. RNAcentral describes it as "partial 16S ribosomal RNA". It matches the Rfam family "Bacterial small subunit ribosomal RNA", at positions 524 to 776 of the family's 1533-position model. The record is from RNAcentral.
UACGUAGGGUGCAAGCGUUAUCCGGAAUUAUUGGGCGUAAAGAGCUCGUAGGCGGUUUGUCGCGUCUGCUGUGAAAACCCGAGGCUCAACCUCGGGCCUGCAGUGGGUACGGGCAGACUAGAGUGCGGUAGGGGAGAUUGGAAUUCCUGGUGUAGCGGUGGAAUGCGCAGAUAUCAGGAGGAACACCGAUGGCGAAGGCAGAUCUCUGGGCCGUAACUGACACUGAGGAGCGAAAGCGUGGGGAGCGAACAGG